UACGGAGGGUGCGAGCGUUGUCCGGAAUCACUGGGCGUAAAGGGCGCGUAGGCGGCGCGGGGAGUCAACGGUGAAAGCUCGGCGCUCAACGCCGAGUCGGCCGUCGAUACUCCCGUGCUCGAGCACUGUAGAGGCAGGUGGAAUUCCGGGUGUAGCGGUGGAAUGCGUAGAGAUCCGGAGGAACACCGGUGGCGAAGGCGGGUCUCUGGGCCAAAACUGACGCUGAGGAGCGAAAGCGUGGGGAGCGAACAGG
Molecule: ribosomal RNA, 253 nt
Filed under: uncultured bacterium
Lineage: Bacteria
Description: partial 16S ribosomal RNA
Rfam family: Bacterial small subunit ribosomal RNA
Source: RNAcentral